AAAAAGGUUGGAAAACUAUGAAAGCUACAGCCUACACAUUGCGAGAAAUGAAAUGGAAAGAUAGAAAAAGUAUGAUAAAAGUCUUCGAAUAUUGGCCAAAUGCUUGAUGUGUACGCAUGACGUAUACCUGCUAAUCAAAGAUGCAAUCAAACAUGGUGGGGCUAAAGAAUAAAGAUCAGGAAUUUUCCAGCUCAAAAGUUGGCAAUGACAACCUUGUUUUUGGAAAUUAGCAUUUUAAUACCCCACCAAAUGCCUAAAUGAUAUGCACAUUGCAGCCACAUCUUGUAUUACAGAAACAGCUUCAUUUUCAGAGCAAUUACUAAGAGAAAAGAGGUUAGGAAAAUGAUGAAUAAUAUUGAUAAUGUGCAAGGUCCAUAACAUGAUUGAAAUGUUCCAAUGAACUCUUCAAACUAAGUUCCUUAAAAGCAUGAAAGAAACAUAAUGCAUUACUCCACAUUAAUCAAGCCUCCUCAACAAGUACUCAACUUCAACUUCCUUCGUUAGGGGCAUGAUCCAGUCGCCAUACAGAUUGACAAGCAAACUUGGCUUCACUUUAUAUAUGGGCUCAGCUUCUUCUUCCUGUGGGUUAAUUAUUAUGUCUUGGCCGAAUGUUUUUGCUUUCAUUUCUACUCUCUUCUUGACUGCUGCUUCCACAGAUUCAUAUGUCAGCAUCUCCAUGAGUUUUCUGCUAUCCUACAAGAACCACAACCCAAGGAUGAUAAUGUGAGAAGUUUUAUCAUCAAAUCAGAGAAUUAUAUAGCCCAGAACAAAAAAUGUUGAACUAGGAAACUACUAGAAGAGCAACCUACUUGCUUUGUAAUAGCAGCCUCAUAUUCAGCAGGGGAUUCUAGGAAUUUAGCCUCAGCCACAAAUUUUCCAUAGUGGAUUCUCCUUGACAUUGCCUGCGUUAGGAAUCAAAGAGGAGAAACAAAUAUAGGUACUGACAUGCCUUGCAGAAAACCACAGCAAUAAAGAAGUAUCUUGAUCCUCAUUAUUUAGAUUGUUGGCAAUUAACCCAGUAGCACCAAAGCAGUAGCAUAAACACUUGCUUGUUACUGAGCUCAAGAAGUAAGUUUAGCAACACACACUCACACUUUAUUAUGGUUCAUAUACCAUGCCAUGCCAGAUUUCAGAGGCACGACUUGGCCUUUAAUGGAUUUUUUGUUUUAUUAAAAAAUAAUAAAAAUGGCGACAAGUGAACCCAAAACUUGUUUUCUGUUUAUAAAUAAAAUAUCAAAUCUCCCAAAAGAAAAUAUCAUGGAAGCCCUGGAAUGGUUCUUUUGAGCAUUUGCAAGGGUUUGCUUAUUACAUCCAGGACAGCAACAAGCACAUUAAACAAACUCAUUGAAAAUACAGAAGUUACAUAGCUAGUAUUUACAUAGGCAUUAGAAUGAUACUUGGCAAUCUCACAAAAUAAAUCAUUUAAAGCUAAAGGAUCAGUUCAAUGGUAACCUGCAAGCACAUUGUGUCACAAACAGCAGCAGAUCCACAAUUACCAUCAUCUCCAGCUUUGACCAAUCUGGGAAGAAGAUUUCUAAAAUACCCAUCCCAGAUCUUCUUGUUAAUAUUGAUUGAACCAGCACAGGGAUGGAGGAUCUGCGGGUGCUGCAAGCAUGGGAACAUUGAUUUUGGUAAGUGUUCCGGGAAGUAUGGAUGCUCAUCUAGACUUUUGUAGCGGCCCAUCUGAGCGUGGAGCUUUUCAGUUUCUCUAACAAUAUACUCAACCAUUGACACCCGAAAACCUUUCAUGGGGAAUGCAUCAGGGUCAUAUGUGUCUGCAUUAUAAUCAUACUGAGCCCUCAACAAAAGGCUAAAUAUUAUGCUAUCCUCUUGUUGAAUUAAAGAAUGCCUUAUAUUUUCUAGGCUCAAGCUCUGGCUUUCAUCCACCUGACCCUUUGAAUAUCUAAUGGGAAAUGAUGAUAAGGCUUGAAGAUGGGAAUAGCCAUUAGCUUUAGAUUUCAAAUAAAGAAAUCUAAGGUUCUUCUGGUGGUUGUGAAGCAAAUUUAAAGAGGGUUUGAAGGAACAUGUAGACUUGGGGCUUGAAACAGAAGCACAAACAACAUUCAAUAGCAUUGCCCCCAUUGAUGAAGAAUGAGAAGAGAAAAGAUAGAAGGUGAGCAAAGAGAGAGGAAAGCAAUGGCAAAAGGCAAAAACAAAGACAACAAAUGUACUAGAGAAAAGAGAAACAGCCAAAAAAAUUACAUGCGUUACGUGAAGGAAGCUUCAUUAGCUGUUUGAAAGAGGAACAAGAAUCUUGAAAAGCACACGCAAGCAUGGUAACGUUACUCUUAAUGACUCAUACAAAGUACAAAUAAAUGAUAAAACGCAUUACAUUGAGAAAAUGCGUGUAUUUGAAUGGUAUGCUAGUUUCGUGACCUAACGGGAAAAAGGUGAAGAGGCUCAAAGAAAGAGAUUAUUUAGCACUAGAUUUCAAGUUAAGAAAUCUAAGGGUUCUUUGGAAAUU
Molecule: unclassified non-coding RNA, 2464 nt
Filed under: Hevea brasiliensis (rubber tree)
Lineage: Eukaryota; Viridiplantae; Streptophyta; Magnoliopsida; Malpighiales; Euphorbiaceae
Source: RNAcentral